Long non-coding RNA from Hydra vulgaris (swiftwater hydra), 349 nucleotides. RefSeq lists it as uncharacterized. Lineage: Eukaryota; Metazoa; Cnidaria; Hydrozoa; Anthoathecata; Hydridae. The record is from RefSeq and is a predicted model, not a curated record.
GUCAACAGAUUUAUCUUUAGAACUGUUCGCAAAAUUUUUGGUUUGGAUACAAAAAACCGACUGAAAAUGAUACUGCAAAGACUGUUUACCGUUUGACCCCUGUCUCAAUCUAACCUAGUGGGUUCAAAAAGAAAGGACCACGCUGGAAACAUGAGUAUCCACUCAUGUUUCAUGAGUAUCCACUCAUGUUUUUAUGCUUUACAGUGCAGAUCAGCCCUUUUUGAAUUAAUAGUCGAAGUGGUAACCAGCUAGAAGUCGUAACCUGCUUGUAUGAAAGGAUUUCUCGACGUGAAAUUGUUAAUUUUAUUCAACAACGCCAAGAAACAGAGCUCGCUCAAGAAACAGAAAA